UGUGGAACAUCAGGUUGCUGGACUCGGCUUUACAUUCUCCCUGAGACUGACUGGCAGAGUCCACAGUAGGGUUUGAGCAAAGGCAAUCAAUAGACCAGUAUCCAGAGAGGUCUCAAUGACCCAGAGAAAGAAACUCAAGGAGAACCUAUGAUGGGAAACAAGGUCAUAGAGAAGGAUGACACAAUAUUUGAGACAGUUCCAAGACAAUCAGCCUACAUCACCCUGCCCACUGGUGAACGCAUAACUAAGUUAUGCUUCUUAGUUAAGCAAGAGCCAAGAGAAGAAAUGAAUUCAACUAAGUAAGUGGAAUUCAUGGUGGAUUCCUUUGAUGGGGAUUUUCCUGCUUUGAAAGGAAAUAAUAGGACGUUUUCAAUGUGGAACAGGGCUGAGGUUCUGACUGCUGGCCUAAAAGAACCAGGAAGUGAUCUGGAUAGGAUGACAGCAGCUCUUACUACGGACUGUGUUCAAAGCCAUGAUUACCAACGAGCUCCUCCACGGCUGGAGUGUAGAC
This 511-nucleotide long non-coding RNA is filed under the name Pongo abelii (Sumatran orangutan). RNAcentral's name for it is "lncRNA (ENSPPYG00000040163.1)". The record is from RNAcentral. Lineage: Eukaryota; Metazoa; Chordata; Mammalia; Primates; Hominidae.